Molecule: ribosomal RNA, 1530 nt
Filed under: Escherichia coli
Lineage: Bacteria; Pseudomonadati; Pseudomonadota; Gammaproteobacteria; Enterobacterales; Enterobacteriaceae
Description: bacterial SSU rRNA
Rfam family: Bacterial small subunit ribosomal RNA
Source: RNAcentral
AGAGUUUGAUCAUGGCUCAGAUUGAACGCUGGCGGCAGGCCUAACACAUGCAAGUCGAACGGUAACAGGAAGCAGCUUGCUGCUUUGCUGACGAGUGGCGGACGGGUGAGUAAUGUCUGGGAAACUGCCUGAUGGAGGGGGAUAACUACUGGAAACGGUAGCUAAUACCGCAUAACGUCGCAAGACCAAAGAGGGGGACCUUCUGGCCUCUUGCCAUCGGAUGUGCCCAGAUGGGAUUAGCUAGUAGGUGGGGUAACGGCUCACCUAGGCGACGAUCCCUAGCUGGUCUGAGAGGAUGACCAGCCACACUGGAACUGAGACACGGUCCAGACUCCUACGGGAGGCAGCAGUGGGGAAUAUUGCACAAUGGGCGCAAGCCUGAUGCAGCCAUGCCGCGUGUAUGAAGAAGGCCUUCGGGUUGUAAAGUACUUUCAGCGGGGAGGAAGGGAGUAAAGUUAAUACCUUUGCUCAUUGACGUUACCCGCAGAAGAAGCACCGGCUAACUCCGUGCCAGCAGCCGCGGUAAUACGGAGGGUGCAAGCGUUAAUCGGAAUUACUGGGCGUAAAGCGCACGCAGGCGGUUUGUUAAGUCAGAUGUGAAAUCCCCGGGCUCAACCUGGGAACUGCAUCUGAUACUGGCAAGCUUGAGUCUCGUAGAGGGGGGUAGAAUUCCAGGUGUAGCGGUGAAAUGCGUAGAGAUCUGGAGGAAUACCGGUGGCGAAGGCGGCCCCCUGGACGAAGACUGACGCUCAGGUGCGAAAGCGUGGGGAGCAAACAGGAUUAGAUACCCUGGUAGUCCACGCCGUAAACGAUGUCGACUUGGAGGUUGUGCCCUUGAGGCGUGGCUUCCGGAGCUAACGCGUUAAGUCGACCGCCUGGGGAGUACGGCCGCAAGGUUAAAACUCAAAUGAAUUGACGGGGGCCCGCACAAGCGGUGGAGCAUGUGGUUUAAUUCGAUGCAACGCGAAGAACCUUACCUGGUCUUGACAUCCACGGAAGUUUUCAGAGAUGAGAAUGUGCCUUCGGGAACCGUGAGACAGGUGCUGCAUGGCUGUCGUCAGCUCGUGUUGUGAAAUGUUGGGUUAAGUCCCGCAACGAGCGCAACCCUUAUCCUUUGUUGCCAGCGGUCCGGCCGGGAACUCAAAGGAGACUGCCAGUGAUAAACUGGAGGAAGGUGGGGAUGACGUCAAGUCAUCAUGGCCCUUACGGCCAGGGCUACACACGUGCUACAAUGGCGCAUACAAAGAGAAGCGACCUCGCGAGAGCAAGCGGACCUCAUAAAGUGCGUCGUAGUCCGGAUUGGAGUCUGCAACUCGACUCCAUGAAGUCGGAAUCGCUAGUAAUCGUGGAUCAGAAUGCCACGGUGAAUACGUUCCCGGGCCUUGUACACACCGCCCGUCACACCAUGGGAGUGGGUUGCAAAAGAAGUAGGUAGCUUAACCUUCGGGAGGGCGCUUACCACUUUGUGAUUCAUGACUGGGGUGAAGUCGUAACAAGGUAACCGUAGGGGAACCUGCGGUUGGAUCACCU